UCGAUUGGGAUUGUAGCGUACUCACACCAACUUGUUUUGGUUUACAGCUACUGGAUUUAUUAACAAAGUGGAGAAGAGAACUUUACAUUCAUCGGCUUCGUAUCACAUUGGACUCUAACAUAUUUUGAAAAGAUAAUAGAAUGCACUGAUACAUGUUUUAUUUUUAUGGGUUGCACUUUUGCAAACAGGGCUAUCGACGGGACAAGGCUGCUUUUGGUGGUUACCGAGCAUGCGAAAUGGGGUCAUAUGCUGACGGGGCUUGUUUUGAACUCCGGACUGAAGUGAGUUUUCCCAUAUUUUGGUAGGCAACUUUUUGUCAUCAUAAUGAAAGGACAAAUUCAUAAAGAGUAUGUUAUUUUACGUUCUUAGGGAGAAAAUGUAGCAUACUGCCUAGAAAUUCCACUGCAGCACCAACAGUUUGACAGCACUUAUUGGUUUAGCGCCGUUAGUUUAGCUAAUUGAGACGUAUGCCAUAGCAUAUUCAUAAUUAAGCUCCACACUAACUCGUUUUCAAUGGCUAUAUUAGGAUCUAAAUACCCUAAUAUUUUUUGCUUUUUUAUUUCAGUAAGAACAGUUGUAUUUUUAAAUACAAGUACUAUUUAAAAUUCCAAAAUGGCUAGCCCAACUACAGAGGAGCAGGGUUGUUUUUCAGAUGUAAGAAAGGUGGGUUAUUUAAGGAAACCUAAAAGCAUGCACAAAAGGUUUUUUGUCCUGCGGGCUGCUAGUGCUGCAGGACCCUCCAGGUUGGAGUACUACGAAAAUGAAAAAAAAUGGAGACACAAGUCCGGGGUGCCUAAAAGGUCAAUCCUGCUGGAGAGCUGCUUCAACAUAAAUAAAAGGACAGAUUCCAAAAACAAAUACCUGGUGGCUCUUUACACCAAGGAUGAGUAUUUCUCUAUUGCAGCGGACAGCGAGCAGGAACAAGACAGGUGGCACCAAGCACUAGUGGACCUACACAACAAAGGUAAAGUUCAUGAUGCUGCUGUUGGUGGCAGUGGGAUGGCAGAGGAAAAUUAUGGAGAAGAAACCAUGCCAGGACCUGCCUUUAAAGAAGUCUGGCAAGUUAUUUUGAAACCAAAGGGCUUGGGACACACCAAAAAUUUAAUUGGGAUUUACAGAUUGUGCCUAACAAAUAAAACCAUCAGCUUUGUGAAAUUGAACUCGGACGCAGCGGCGGUCGUGCUGCAAUUAAUGAAUAUACGGAGAUGCGGUCAUUCAGAGAAUUUCUUUUUCAUUGAAGUGGGAAGAUCCGCAGUCACAGGACCGGGGGAAUUUUGGAUGCAAGUGGACGACUCUGUUGUUGCUCAAAAUAUGCAUGAAACCAUCCUGGAGGCGAUGAAAGCGAUGAGUGAGGAAUUUCGUCCCCGGAGCAAAAGCCAUUCCUCGUCAAACUGCUCCAACCCAAUCUCUGUGCCUUUGAGAAGGCAUCACCACAACAACCUGCCACCUAGCCAAGUGGGACUGGGAAGGAGGUCCCGGAUUGAGAGUGUGACGGCCACCUCUCCUGCUGGCCCGGGAAAGCACAGUCAUUCAUUCAGAGUGAGGGCCUCUAGUGAUGGGGAAGGAACCAUGUCCAGACCUGCCUCAGUGGAUGGGAGCCCCUGUGCUGCCAGGACACAAUCUCACAGACACAAAGGGGCCUCCCGCCUCCACCCUCCCCUCAACCACAGCAGGUCUAUCCCCAUGCCCUCUUCGUGCUGCUCCCCCUCAGCAAUUAGCCCAGUUAGCCUGUCCUCCAGCAGUACGAGUGGGCACGGCUCCACUUCAGACUGUCUCUACCCCUGCCGCUCCAGUGCCUCCAUAUCUGGCUCUCCUAUUGACGCGGGAUUCAUUUCCUCUGAUGAGUAUGGAUCCAGCCCCUGUGACUUCAGGAGCUCCUUCCGCAGUGUCACACCUGACUCCUUGGGUCACACACCGCCCGCCAGGGAGGAAGAACUCAACAACUACAUCUGCAUGGCAAAGCCUGCAACUCUUCUGAGGGGCCACUGUGGCUGCAGCCCCCACCCCCAUGGUACGCCAUCCCACCUGGACGAGCCUGAGCUGGAGAAGUGCUUCGGGAAACGGACACACUCCUCAAGCACAUCUCCCCUGACAGUGUGCCACCAGAAGACCCCCUCUCAGUCCUCCACAGUAUCGCUGGAGGAGUACACAGUAAUGCAGCCUGCAUACUCGUCAUGCAGCCGAGCAUCCAGCUACAGGCACUCUGCCUUCAUGCCCACACACUCAUUCCCAGAGGAGGGCAUAGACAUCCCCUUAGAGGGCAACAGGGUGAGCCAAAAAGAUGAUGGCUACAUGCCCAUGACCCCAGGUGUGGCACCUGCCACAGGUAAAAGUGCCGACUACAUGCCCAUGAGCCCCAAAAGUGUGUCGGUGCCACAGCAGAUUAACUCCCACCAGCACCCCAAAAUGGACUCCAAUGGGUACAUGAUGAUGUCACCCAGCGGGAGCUGCUCACCAGACACCACAAACUACGGUCAAAUCUGGACCAAUGGGGUCAACCCUAAGCUGUCUGUCGAGAGCACAGAGGAGAAAUUGUUGUCGCAUGGGGAUUACAUGAACAUGUCACCGGCGAGCUGCUCCAUGACUAGCACACCGCCAGACUGCUACAUCAACCUGGUAGAGGAUCCACCCAAGUCCAUAUACGCCUACUUUUCCUUGCCUCACUCUUUUGAACACAGCCACAGGAAGCUGGACCAGAACCCCCUGCUCCUUUCGCUCAGCUCUGGACACCUGGCCUUCGGGGACACUUUAGCCUCCUCCACGAGCAGCGACAGUCUGAUGGGACAGGGCCACAGUAGUCAGCCCGUGGUCAAGUCCAAGAGAGCUGAUGUGGACAGCAGGCUGGCCAGGCCCACGCGCCUCUCUCUGGAGGGCAACAAAGCCAGCACCCUGCCUUGCACCCAUGAGUGCCCCUUCCCUACAGAUCCCAAGAGCCCCGGGGAGUAUGUCAACAUAGAGUUCAACGACAAGGCCUUCUCAGCCGACUUGGCCACUCACUUCUCCCCUGUGUUCCCAGGGAGUGGCCCAGAGAAGCCAGCAGAGAUUUCCUCAGACUACAUGAACAUGCACCUGGGUGCUCAGGGCAGGGGCAUUCCCAACUGGGAAGCCAAACCCCUAGCCUCCUGCACAGAUUGCUAUGCUAUAGUGGCACCUGUUGCUCCCUCCUCCUCUGUAAUCCCCUGUGAGAACCUCUGUAGACGGGACUACAGCAGCACACAGACGGACUACUCUGACACACACAUGAUUCUGAAUGCUCCGAUGUCGACCAUUGAUGCCUCCCCCUUCUCUGUGUCCCCUCCAAGCCAGGACCUGUCUGUGCUGGGUGCGGGUCCCAGUGCCGUGCCCUUAGGACUAAUGGGCCCUCUCUCUGGGCUGAGUGCUUUCACCAGGGUUAACUCCAGUUUUAUCUGGAACCAAGGAGCUAAAUUGAUCCGUGCCGACCAGCAGGGCCGGCGCCGGCACAGCUCCGAGACCUUCUCCACAGGAGUCCCGGUCAGCGCCGCCGCGCCCUCCGUGGAGGAAGUGAAACGUCACAGCUCCGCCUCUUUCGAGAAUGUGUGGCUGAAGCCGGGAGAAUCCCCAUUAUCUGCCAACAGCAGGAGAGAAAGCCCAUUGGCGCCCAGCUCUAACGGACAGAACCAGAACAGGCUGAACUACAUCGACCUGGACCUGGCUCAGGACCAGAACCUCCCAGAGUGGAGUUCCCUCCCGGCCAGAGCCAUGGACACGCAAGGUGGGAGUGCCCCAGAGGACCUGCGUGCCUAUGCCAGCAUUAGUUUUCAGAAAGCAGGCGAGUCGAGGAUGAACCCCGCUCAUAGAGAAGGAAAGCAGCAGCUGUCAGAAAAAUAUGCAUUGAAAGAUGAGAUGAGCCCCUCAGCACCGAGGAGGGGGAGAGGGAGAGGAUGAAGAGAGGGGGGAGCAGCAUGGCAAGGGGAAGUAGCGAACCAACCUACUGUAGCAGCCCAUAGCUCUAGAAACAAGGCCAGAGAAUGAAGAUGGGUGCUCUCCAGUGAAUUUAGACUUCCUUGUCAUAGAACAGACAUCAUAGAAUGGACCUCACAGAUUCACAACCAGACCUCACCAGUCAGGCCCCGCAAACCUGACUUGACAAAACUAUUACUGGACAUUACAAUCCAGACCUCAUAAUCUGGAUUUCACAAUCCUUACUUCUUCAUCUGGAUUUUGCAAUCCAGAAUUCACAGUUUGGACAUUGUAAACCAAACCUCACAAUCCAUUAUCUGGACUUCACAACCCGGACCUGCAGUGUUGAUGCUGUAUCCCAGGUCCUCCUCUUAGCACCGGUAUGGUACUACUUAACGGUACUCAGCCUCACUGCACCACUUCCUCAGGCAACAAAGCGGCAAACCUGCCCAGUCUCACCUGAGGACUGCCCAGUCUCAAACCUGCCCAGUCCCCCACGUCAUAUUUCAAUUUUCUUCACUUAUUGGCUUUCUGUUGCUUUUGUUUCUUGUUACGGUCAUUUACAUUUUGGCCAGUUUGGCUUCCAGGCCAGUGUCCCCACCACACAACUCAGGUGCUCCCAUAGCAUCAUACCAAGCCUCCAAAUGGCUACAGUAGUCACUAGUGUUACUUGAACUGUGUCUUCUGUUACUGGGUCCCUCCAUGUCAGCAACAAAUUGUGCUUCAUUCUAGUAGUUUGUAAAUAGGUUCUCUAUAGGAUCCUCUUAAAUAAUGUGGUACAUGAUAUAUAGACACAAUGUCAAUAGUGUUGUAUCAUCUAUUUUAGAUUUAUUUUACCUUUAUUUUACUAGGCAAGUCAGUUAAGAACAAAUUAUUAUUGUCAAUGAAGGCCUAGGAACAGUGGGUUAACUGCCUGUUCAGGGGCAGAACGACAGCUCGGGGAUUCGAACUUGCAACCUUUCGGUUACUAGUCCAAUGCUCUAACCACUAGGCUACCCUGCCGCCCUAUCUAAACAUCCAGUCAGGCAGGAAUAGUCCCAUAUCUGAGCUGUUGGUACUAAUACUGACACUGUCUAGCUGAAAUGUAAUGGCUUUCACAGAUCUAAUGGCAGAGGAACUCUAUGUUGCUGUGGAUUUCUAACAUUUCUAUUUCUAUGGUACAGCAUUGUCACCAAGUAUAUGUGGUUGGAGCAAAUCAUAUCAACUCUUAGGGCUACAUUGUAACAGUCUCUUCCAUAGAGGCACCUCUGUAAAGGCUUGGAAGCCAGUAAAGUUGCUUGCGACGUUAUCAUUUUAUUUACCAUUUUAUUUUUGCAGAAAAACAUGGACUGUAAUAGAUUCACACAAAAAAGGGCAUAUUUUCUGUCAUUCUUGCUGCUGACGACUUUGACAAACCAUCUCUGUAAAUUAUUGAAUAUAUAAUGUCAAUUGUUUUGAAAGACAAGAUUAUUUAACAUGGUUUAUAUCGGUGCAUUUUGAAUUUAAACUGAAACGUGUCCAAUAUUUUUGUAUCCCUUAUCAAUGGGAAAUCUGCUUCUUACAUAUGAUCCUAUAUAUUCCUGUCCACCUCAUGGGUUUUUGUUCUUUUGUUGAACAUUUCGAAUGUUGUCAAGUGGAUUCUAGGUACUACCCAUGUUAAACAAGAACCCCACUCCUCCAAACACACCAGCACCAUCCCAAUGGGCCUGUUCCUGAGAGUCCUCUGUUUCUCUAACACUAUAGGCUACAGCUGUGUUGCUCUGUAAUCCUGUAGGCUGCAAUUGUGUAUUUUUCUAACUGGAUUGGCUGCUUCUGUAAUCUAAUAGGUUGCUUUCCUGCGGCCACCGAACUUCACCUGAAUGCUACUUAUGGGCAUAUUCAGUACGGUGUAAUUCCGAAACACACUGUAGAAAACAAAUUGUGCUAUAUUGCACAUAAUGAGAAAAGGCAAGACAAGAUGAACCUCAAACCUCUCCACCAACCCUGUCUUCCACUGUAAAUAAUGUAUUGUAAGACAACAGAUAAUAGAAAUAAUAAAUGUAUGGGUUGGAACGACUGAAUAUAACGUCAAUGUGGUGAACAACAUGAGUGAAUGUUAUAUAAGAACUAUCAACUGAACAAAUGAAGAAUGAAUGAAUUAAUAAACGCAUUUUUGGAUGUACAAAUUAGCGGAUGAGUAAAUAAAUGCAUUAAAGAAUGACAGGGAUAGCAAGAGCACCAAUAUAAUAUAGCUUGGGGCUUUGCAUUCUCAUAUACCCCCGUGCCCUUUGCUAGGUUCUGACAAAGUGAAAAAAACUACUCAAAGCUCAAGCCAAGUUUAUUCACCCACUGGGUCAAACAGCUGAAAAGACAACAUGUUUCUACCAGCACAAGUAUUUAUACCCUCCUAUUAGGCGGAGUCUCCUCUUUGCAGAUCUAGACAGCCAAUACAUCUCUGUUGCUAGGCAGGAACUUGGGUGGUGUGUGUUAAAAUGUUCCUUGUCAGUUCUAUUACCUCAGCCCUCAUUCCUCAGUCCUCCCUAAUGCAAGGCUAUCCAACCUUAUCAAUGACUGAAAAUAGACAGUUACCCUCAAUGAGAUUUAACAAUAACAUAUACUAUGUAAAGUAGUUCUAGUAGUGUAUGAUGACAUGGUCUAAGAUGUUUCUACAACUUGAUUGGAGUCCGCUUUUGGUAAAUUCAAUUAAUUGGACAUGAUUUGGAAGGGCACACACCUCUCUAUAUAAGGUUCCACAGUUGAGCUCGUUGAGCACCAAGACAGGAUUGUGUCGGGGCAAAGAUAUGGGGAAGGGUACCAAAAUAUUUAUAAAAUUGUAUUGUAACAACGUUAUACAUGUAAAGUAGUAGUAGUAUAGUAGGGUAGAAACUUUCUGGAACCUCCGUAAUAAAGUAGAUAUUUUAAUA
Molecule: RNA transcript, 6803 nt
Organism: Oncorhynchus gorbuscha (pink salmon)
Lineage: Eukaryota; Metazoa; Chordata; Actinopteri; Salmoniformes; Salmonidae
Gene: irs1
Gene name: insulin receptor substrate 1
Exons: 3
Source: RefSeq, a predicted model, not a curated record